RNAcentral lists this ribosomal RNA (221 nucleotides) under uncultured eukaryote. Its description in RNAcentral is "partial 18S ribosomal RNA". It matches the Rfam family "Eukaryotic small subunit ribosomal RNA", at positions 1299 to 1458 of the family's 1831-position model. The record is from RNAcentral.
UCGUGGAGUGAUUUGUCUUGUUAAUUCAGUUAACGAACGAGACCUUAACCUACUAACUAGGCUAUAGGCUAGCUUUACGGCUAGUCAGUUUCUAUGGAGUGGUUCGUAUGAGCCAUUUCUUGAAACCUAUAAUAUGGAACUGCAUCUUCGGGUGUAGUUCCUGCUUCUUAGAGGGACAAUACUUCGUUUAUAUUAGAGUAAGGAAGUUUAAGGCAAUAACA